RNAcentral lists this unclassified non-coding RNA (286 nucleotides) under fungal sp. RNAcentral describes it as "partial internal transcribed spacer region". The stretch from base 1 to 46 matches the Rfam family "Eukaryotic small subunit ribosomal RNA", at positions 1786 to 1831 of the family's 1831-position model. The record is from RNAcentral. Lineage: Eukaryota; Fungi.
AAGUCGUAACAAGGUAACCGUAGGUGAACCUGCGGUUGGAUCAUUAUUAAAGUUGCAAGGUUAUUGUCUUUUGCCGGUAACGGCAGGGGCAAUAGCUGAGCUAAAACUUGGGUUGUUUAUUGAUUUUCAAUCGAGAGCAAUCUCUUUUGGAAUUCGGUAAACAUCCCUAUCACACCUGUGAACUGCCUCAGAGUAUGUUGCUAGUCAACUACAAUGAGUGACAACCACUACCACAAUUCUAAAAAAUAACAAAAAACAACUUUUGACAACGGAUCUCUUGGCUCUC